Long non-coding RNA from Nomascus leucogenys (northern white-cheeked gibbon), 606 nucleotides. RefSeq lists it as uncharacterized. Lineage: Eukaryota; Metazoa; Chordata; Mammalia; Primates; Hylobatidae. The record is from RefSeq and is a predicted model, not a curated record.
GGGGAGAUCUUCGAGCUGAAGGCAGAGCUCAACAGUGACAAGAAGGAGAAGAAGAAGGAGGCAGUGAAGAAAGUGAUUGCAUCGAUGACCGUGGGCAAAGAUGUCAGGGGAGUCCGGCCAGCUUGAGCUAUGCGGAUCCUGAGCGUGAUCCCGGGUAGGCGUUUGCCCCGGUGGAACACCUCGUCAGAGCAGUGCACGGCAGGCCCCCGCAGAGGAUCAACGCAGUGGCUGAGCAACGGGAAGGAACUGGCGCUUGGAGUCCGGAUAUCUGGAACACGGUGAUUCUCAUCUGCUGGCCUGGAGGUGGCCUGCCAUGUAAGAGGACACACAGCAUACCAUGGAGCUGCUGCGUGCCCCAGUCCUGUGCACACUCAACGCCUGGCUUCUGCUUUCCCAGCUCUGACAAUCCUAAUUCUGGCUUCCAAAGCAAUCCUGUACUUCCCUCGCAGUUCUCAGACUUGCCUGAACUGUUUAACGUUUUAAUCAAUCUUGUGACCACGACUGAGCUGUGACAUUUGAUACAUCAUAGUAUAUUUUUAUCCAUUUAUAGAUAUGUUAAUAGCAUUUAACUUCAUUUUUCAGAGUUUAAGGAACAUUUCUUGGCUA